RNAcentral lists this microRNA precursor (58 nucleotides) under Ciona intestinalis (vase tunicate). RNAcentral's name for it is "miRNA (ENSCING00000018727.1)". Lineage: Eukaryota; Metazoa; Chordata; Ascidiacea; Phlebobranchia; Cionidae. The record is from RNAcentral.
UCCCAUCUUCUCCCAACCUACUACAUAUUAUAUAGUAGGGUGGGGGAAGAUGGGACAC